RNAcentral lists this ribosomal RNA (407 nucleotides) under uncultured bacterium. RNAcentral describes it as "bacterial SSU rRNA". It matches the Rfam family "Bacterial small subunit ribosomal RNA", at positions 355 to 776 of the family's 1533-position model. The record is from RNAcentral.
UAGGGAAUAUUGCGCAAUGGGGGAAACCCUGACGCAGCAACGCCGCGUGAGCGAUGAAGGCCUUCGGGUCGUAAAGCUCUGUCGUACGAGAAUAAGAAAGUGAAUGUAUCGUGCAAGAAAGGAUCGGCUAACUUCGUGCCAGCAGCCGCGGUAAGACGAGGGAUCCUAGCGUUGUUCGGAAUCAUUGGGCGUAAAGCGGGUGUAGGUGGCUUUGUAAGUCAGGUGUGAAAGCCCGGGGCUUAACCCCGGAAGUGCAUCUGAUACUGUGAAGCUUGAGUGCAAGAGAGGCAAGCAGAAUUCCUGGUGUAGUGGUGAAAUACGUAGAUAUCAGGAGGAAUAUCGGAGGCGAAGGCGGCUUGCUGGUUUGACACUGACACUGAGACCCGAAAGCGUGGGGAUCAAACAGG